AUGGCGGCGAGGCUCGCGCAGCUGCGGACCAAGGCGGCGCAGGCGGCGGAAUUCGCCUCGAAGCACGGCGGCGCCUACUACAAGGAGGCGAUGGAGAAGAACAAGCAGUACGUCGUGCAGCCUCCCUCCGUGGAGAAGUGCCAGGAGCUCUCCAAGCAGCUCUUCUACACGCGCCUCGCGAGUCUACCAGGCCGCUAUGAAGCAUUGUGGAAAGAGGUUGAUGGUGUCAAGCAGCUUUGGAAGAACAGGAAGGAGCUCAAGGUGGAGGACCUUGGAAUUGCAACACUGUUUGGGGUUGAGCUUUAUGCAUGGUUCUGCGUAGGCGAGAUUGCAGGCAGAGGAUUCACCUUAACCGGCUAUAAGGUCUGA
This 369-nucleotide ribosomal RNA is filed under the name Triticum aestivum (bread wheat). RNAcentral describes it as "partial small subunit ribosomal RNA". Lineage: Eukaryota; Viridiplantae; Streptophyta; Magnoliopsida; Poales; Poaceae. The record is from RNAcentral.